Molecule: ribosomal RNA, 431 nt
Filed under: uncultured bacterium
Lineage: Bacteria
Description: bacterial SSU rRNA
Rfam family: Bacterial small subunit ribosomal RNA
Source: RNAcentral
GCAGGCGAGAAUUUUUCACAAUGGGGGAAACCCUGAUGGAGCGACGCCGCGUGGAGGAUGAAGGCCCUUGGGUUGUAAACUCUUGUCAUAAGGGAACAAGAAAGUGAUAGUACCUUAAGAGGAAGAGACGGCUAACUCUGUGCCAGCAGCCGCGGUAAUACAGAGGUCUCAAGCGUUGUUCGGAUUCAUUGGGCGUAAAGGGUGCGCAGGCUGUGUGGUAAGUCAGAUGUGAAAUUUAGAGGCUUAACCUCUAAACUGCAUUUGAUACUGCCAUGCUAGAGGACUGUAGAGGAGAUUGGAAUUCACGGUGUAGCAGUGAAAUGCGUAGAUAUCGUGAGGAAGACCGGUGGCGAAGGCGAAUCUCUGGGCAGUUCCUGACGCUCAUGCACGAAGGCUAGGGGAGCAAACGGGAUUAGAUACCCGCGUAGUCC